RNAcentral lists this small RNA (6393 nucleotides) under Histoplasma capsulatum. RNAcentral's name for it is "hypothetical RNA". Lineage: Eukaryota; Fungi; Ascomycota; Eurotiomycetes; Onygenales; Ajellomycetaceae. RNAcentral also lists the same sequence under 1 other name. The record is from RNAcentral.
CAGGAUGCUACGACGGAGGUACGGAUCUGGGCAAUUUGUAGCUCCAGUGUCCCAAAUGCUAAUUUAAAAAAAGGGAUGUGGUGCUACGAAUCAAUGGGCCGCUGCAUUUGUCUAUCGUGGUUGGUAUCACGCCAUUCAUUUUCUCCCAGCCUCGUUUAGCGACUCUACACAAAGAAAGGGGCUGCUGUCAGAGAAAGUCCCCAAUGAAACAUACAUUAGACGAUGUGGGAAUUGUGGUCCGGAUAAAGAAGAAAACAGAGUGAAUACUGAAAGGAAAUAAAAAAGAAAGGAUAAUAACAAAAAAAACAGAAAAAAAGAAAAAAGAAAAAAAAGGAAAUGUAGUUUGUUAGCCGAUAUAUAUUCUAUCUCACAAGAUAUGAACAGAGUGAGGGUAUGUAUUAAACCAUGCAAUGAUGAAAUUGCAACACGCAAGCAGCUCAAACAUAGAAGGCCAAUGAAUCUAAGAAUGAAAAGAAAGGAAAAGAAGGCUGGGAUGGCAGGUAGAGGCAAGAUCCAAAAAGAAAAUGUAACCACGCUGCAAAAAGAAACCGCCCGCGAUCCAGCCUAAAAUAUGCUGACAAAUAACCCUUAGAGAUUUUCACGCAGUUGUAGCUGUUGGCGAAACUUUAUUAGACGGUGCAGACGCCGGUUCAGGAACCUUUUCAUUGUCCACUUCCACAGAAGCAAGGCCCGCCGCGGUGGCCGAAUCUGUGUUUGCUCCGCCCCCAUCACCAUUCACCACUCUCUCUUUCUCAGCAAGCGCUUCAACACCUGUAGCUCCAGCUCCAAAACCGUCAUCACCCUGGCUAUGUUCCUUCUUCGGAAGAGUGAUAGCCCUCCUCCGAUCUGCCCCAUCCACACUCCCCAUAAUCUCCGCAGUUUCGUUAUUCCACACGACAGGUCCCUUGACGAAAUCCCUCCUUGUAUCCCCGAUGGCGGGCGUGGUGAGGUCUGUGGCGGAGACAUCGUUUACACCCCGUUCUCCAACGCGUGUCAAGAUGCCUGCAAGUUCUUUCGCCGGCUCAUCGAGUGACGGCAUGUCACCCCAAUUCCAGUCCAGCUCGCCACCGAACUGCUUUGGGAUGUUGCAGGGUUCCAUGAAGGUGCUGAGGGUGGAUUUCACUUCGGAUGCGGACAGGAUGAAGAUCUUUGACGUUGUCACAGGGUCGAACCAGCGCUUGAUCCAGCCCCAGACGGUGGGAAAGAAGACGGGGGCUCCGAUUAUCUGCGGUUUUGUUAUGUUAGUUCGAUUCUACGCUUUCAAUUGUAUCGCUGAAAAUAACAAUUCAUUUUUUUUCAUUUCCCCUUCCUUUCGGAGGAAAGUGCUUGCUGCUUUUGUAUAUCCGUAUGUCCGUAUGUCCGUUUUGAGAUAGGCGAAACCGCCAACAAACAAGGCACGGAGUCAACGUUGAGCGGAACAGCAUGUGACAAAAAAGAAAGAAAGACAAGGACAGGAAGAAAGGGAUGAACGAAAGCAAAAGCUCCGAUCGACAAAAAAACAAAUCUCCACAUACAAAUAUCCUAUCCAAAGUCUCCGGAUAAUGCGCUGUCGCCAAGGCACUCGCAUCCUGCAUAUGACCCUUCAAAUUCCAAAACUGCUUCAGUCCCACCCCUGAAAUGUCCACGAUAUUCGUCGUGUUCACAACUGGAGUCUCAGGGUGGGGACGCCCCAGAUCACUGCACAACGGUAGCACAAACUGGGUCAUGUUCUCGUACAGGGCAAAGAGACGGAGUAAUCGUGGGAGUACUUUGGAGGAGGUGUGGGUUGCAGAUGUCUUGCCCGCUGAGGCACUGGACGAGUAGGCUGCCAUGUUCUUGCUGUUUAGGUCCUUUAUCACGUAAACGUAUAUGGGGAUCCCGCGACGAUCUCGCCGGCCGGUCCAUUGAGGAUACUGGAUAAAAAGACAAAGAAGGUAGACGUCAGUCACCCUGAAAGUCAGGGGAGUUCAAUCAACAGGGCGACAUUGAAGGGGAGAUCGGAGUUUUAGGAAAACCCGAUAAAUGAAACAAAUUUGCUGACCACUCUGCGAGCAUCUUCAUAUGAAUCAAUAUCGAAAUUCCGGUACAACGCAUCGAUCUGGUUCGUCUUGCGCCAUUCUUCUGUGUCCCGGAACUGAUCUAGGGCACCCUGCACGUCGAAUCUACGCGCGCGAAGAAAUCGCCUAUAUUUGCAGACAUGGCAAAAGCAAAAAAAGAGAAAAACGGUUAGAUCGUAGACAGCCAAUUGGAUCUUUUGCGUCAGAACCCUCCCUUUCCCUCACUGCUCCUGGUAGGGGUUUCCAAGAGAAAACAACCCCGGAUAAUACAACAAAGAUGCCCCAUAACCACCUUCUCCCCUUGGCAUACAGAAAGAACACCAACAUUGUGGAUAGAUAAUAUUAGGUGGGCAGUGCGUACAGCAAAGUAGAAUCAUCAUGGCUGGCACGAGCUCCACCAUGCGCUUCGGUAUAUAGUUGUUCCUCCUUCAAGACCAAUUUGAAGCUUGUCAGCGCUUCCGACUGCUGCGGUGAUAGGUGGUUUAGGAAACCCAGCAGCGGAUCUGGACCUUCACUGUCCUCUCCCUUGCUGGCCUUUGCAGCAGCCGCUUCGAACGACUCAGUCUUGGUGACUGGGGGAAGUUCCUGCGAUUGUAACUGUGAGUGUGACUUGGGAUGGGAAUGAGAGCUUUUUAUCGAGUGCCGGCUGUGGUUGGAUCGGCUGGUGGCAGUUCGUGAGAGGGUCAUGUUUAUUUAUUUUCGUCGUUGGGGUAUUCUGGAGUUUCUAUUAUCUUUUUCUUUUCUUUUUAUCUUCGUCCCCCGUUUCUGCCUCCUUGACUUUCUAUGUUCUUGUGUAUGAUUCCUCUAUUGGGGUAUAUCGCAUGAAGGGUUUCUUGUAUAAGGCAGCCGUUCUCCAGACAAGAGACACAGCAAACACGGCAGUUCUGUGCAAGGGUAUCUGCGAAGAAUCUAUCUCGCCAGUCAGCGAAGGAAACAAUAAGAUGGGCAACGAUACGGAUGAGGGUGAGGAUGCAAAGCACAAGCCCUGGUGGCCUUGUUGACGGGCUCCAGCGGGUCUCAGCCUCGAGAUGUCCUCAGCUCGCUACUCGUUAGUGCGGAAGGAUUGGUAAUACCCAGCGGUUGUCACGGAUAUAACACGGCGGCGGCUCGCUCCGGGCGGCACAUCCGAGCUCCGUGCCCGAGCAUCGCCCGUGGCAAGCCCUACAAGCCCUACAAGCCUUACAAGCCUCACCUCACAGGCAAGAGAUGGAUAGCUGGAUGAGUCAAGAUGCCAUAGUUAUUUGCUUUUGGAAGGACUGUUGUUUCAAGCAAACUGACUUGGUGUCAAAAUCUACAUGCAACAGCGAAGCCAAUACAAAAUGUCUGGCCAUUGAAAAUUUAUGACUGUAUAUUUUUAUCCACCGAGUCAUUUUCCAAGAGUUAAGAGUUUUUUUUCCUUUUUCUUUUCCUUGUUCUUUCUUUUCUUUUUUUCCUGCAUGAUGGAGCUCGGUGUCUAAAUAUGAUUGGGCUUAAACGCCACACGGCAUACCUCGGAGCAUUUUUACUCUAUUUUUAGUCCUCCGUCAGAUCUCCAUAUUCCCACAUGCCCUUGCGCCCCUCUUUUGCCUCGUUUUGCAGUUUCUCGAGAUGCGCCAGCGUCUCUGUCGACGACCGUUCCCAUUCCUUGAGCUUGCGCGGGACCAUCGCGAGUCCCUCACUGAUUACGUCGGCAUUAAUGCUGUGCUCCAGACUCUUAGAUUCGGCCGGGUCCAUCAGAGUAACAUGCAAUGUCCCAUCGGGCGCCGUGUAGUCGACAUUCGCAACUAAUUGGCGAUCCAAUGUCCGUUCACCAAGGUAUCCCACAGCAUCACGGAGGUAUUCGGGAGACGCGGGGAGUUGCAAGAAGGAGAGAACUGUAUCGGUGGCUUGGGGUCGAAUUUUCUGCACGGAAAACUGCGGCUGCGUGAGAGGCCGGAGGCGGGUCCACGGAACGGUUUCGGAGUUGCCGUAGUCGAUGUAAACGACGUCGGCUUUUUUCGCUUCACGGUCGUUUCUCCGUAUUUUUGCGCGGUACCACUCGUUGUCCUCCGUGAACCUGGCCGCGACUAGAUCUCCGGCCUUGGGUGGGCCGCUCAGAGCAGUGUCGUUCGCCUUGUUGAGGUGGAAGGCUCGGAACGCGCUCAUCAUCUCGGUGAGGGCUGUUGUGCCGGCGCCGAUUUGUUGGAUUUUUAGCUUUCCAUUUUCGUCUACAUUCGUGACCAUCACAUCGCGGUAGUCCUUUUUGCGCUGCUGGGGAGCGUCUGCGCCGGCUUCUGCGCCAUUCUUUCCGUUCGUGGCAACGGUCUCGCCCUCCUCAAGAUCCUUGCUUGGAUCCCAGUCAUGCCACAAGCCUUUUCGGGCCUCUUUGGCUUUUUUCUCCGCUGCGAACAGCUCUGCAGCGUGACCUCCUUGCUCAGCAGAAUAGGCAUGGACAGUCGCAAGGCCUUCUUCAACAAGAAUCUUGGAAAAGCUUUCUCUGUUGAUAUAGAGACUGCCGAUGAAUCCACCGACCUUGUCAAUUGUCUCGACGUCUAUUUCAACGUCGCGUUGCAUACAUCUUCGGUAGGCGAAGUCAUGGGCUUCUUGCCCGAACGGCUCCCCAGUCUCUCCUGGGUUCCUCGCCGAUCUGGGAGCCCGGAUGCCGGAAAGGACCAGUGUGAGCUUAGCAUUAUCUUUAGGAAGUAGGAUGGUGAAGCGAGAGCCGGAUUUUACGAAAUCAACAACACCAGGCACCUUCCUCUGCCGCUGGAGCACGGAGGCCUGAAUCUUCGCCUUUUGCACAUUCUCGGAGUAGUCCUGAGGCGCUCUAACGGUUGGGGGCUUAGAAGACCACAUUCCUUUCCCCUCCUUCUGAGCUGCUUCUUCCGCACGGAGUAGAUCAUCGUAUUCAGGAGACCGGUCGUCAUCAUCCCGGCGAUGGCGGAUGACGGAUGCGUAACCAGCCUGCACGAGGGCCAAUGCAAUGUUUGUGUUUCCAGACAUGACCGUACCAACCUCCCGUUCCUCGUAACCUUCCGAUGCGGGUCUUUUUCCAUCAAUUUUUACUUUGACGUGUUUACCGAUGAGCUUCUUGCGCAUAAAUUCCUUAGCCUCUAAGAUGAAAGGUGCCUGCUUAGGGUCGGAUGUUCUUGGAUGUCUGACGCUGCUGAGGCUUAUCCGCUUCUCAUCCUUUCCUGUCUUCGUUCGAACAAAAAUGGUGUCUGCACUAAACACUCGAGUCACAACAUAAUCCGCUUGCGCAGCGCCGGCGCCAACUUUGGGCGCGUUGUGGCUCAUAAAUAAUCCUUUUCGCGCUUCUUUCGCGGCGUUCUCGGCCUGUCGUAGAGUAGUCAUGUCCUUUCCGAUCAUAGUAGAAUGGUGGUCGGCGCAUCGGGCCAGGCCAGCUUCGAGAAGGAACUUAGCGAUGUUGCCAUUAGGAUGGAGGACGCCGGCAACGAGUUGAUUUUGCGGUGUCACACCAAGCAGCGAGAUCUUAACUUUUCUCUGGAGUAGCCGGAGCUCCACAAACUGCUGAGCCUGUUCUCCAAGCGGUUCUCCCGGUUGUUCUGUGCCGUCUGGGUUCGUUCGUUUCGUUGCCGGAGCCCGGAUACCAGCAACCACAACCAAUGUUUGGAUAUGUUUAUGCGGGGCAACAAGUAACCUGACGAUCAGGCGGUCACCGCUAAGUACCCUUUCCACAACUGCAGCAAUUUGGUUCCCCUUUUCGCUCUCAAUCAGUGCCUUUAGAUCUGGUACUUCAUAAGCAGUCUCGAGUUCCCCGCCAGUCGACACCCACACGCCCUUUGAUUCCGACCGCGCACGGUUUUCAAGUUCCCGCAGUUUGUCCACCGUCGCCACAAUAUCCUCGGACUCUUCCCGCUUGCCCGCAUCCUCACGCACUUUGACCCAUCCUUCCGCAACGCAGAGCUCUGGCAAUUCCUGAUUAUUAUGAAGUUUCACGAUGCCGUAUUCCCGUUUCGUGGUGGGGACGGUGUAGAGCACCUGGAACUUAACGACCUUGCCCACAAGCAAUUCGCGUAGGAAUUCUCUAGAUUGGAAGGCAAAUGGCUGUGCCGUGAGGGCAAAAUAAUAUUACUCGUUAGUAGAGAACCAUCAAACACCGCAGAGGGGCAUGACGAGCAACUGAACAGGGACCCCAUGCAAGGGGCAACCAGGGGAAAUAUCAAAUUUUACCUCGUCACCCUCUCUUCGUAACCGCGGAGCGGACACAUAGGCCAAGCUCAGCGUUCGUUCCUGGCUGCGGUUGAUGACAUGUGUCAAGAUGAGGGUGUCACCAGACAGAACGGUCUUGACGCGGGCUUCCAGGAGAGACAUGGUGAGGGCGAACGAUGGAGAUGCACUGAGCGGGUAGGUAUACAGGAGUAAAUGGUGUGGGAAG